AAGCAGGAAAGUGGUUGUAUGCAAAGAUGGAUGGAUGUCAUGAUUAUAAACUGGGGAUCGAUUAAGAAUUUGGCAAGGUGCUUUUGGGGUUUCAAUCCAUUGAAGGCUGCAUCCGGUGUGACAGUAAUGGCACCAGGGCCAGGAGAACAGGAGAGAAGUCAUGAUGUCUGCACAAAGCAGACAGUCCUGCCUGACUUGGAAGGUUUUACAUUGUCGCUCAGAGCCUCAGUUCUCUUGUCUCUAAAAUAAAGAUAAUUCUAAACGUCACAGUAGUUACCUAAUGUGUGAUAAUGUGUGGGGAAAUGCUUUGUUAAUUCUGAAAUACUGCAUAAAAUAGACUUUUUUAUCAUGGAAAUACAGACUGUUUCAUAAUCCUAGACUAUUUUAGGGAAACUCGGAAAAGGAAGCCUUUAUUUAACUAUUUUCCCUUUCUCUUGAUUCCCUUUGUAGAAUGAGGCACUGCAUAAAUAUAUAAAUAACUUCCUCCUCCCAAAUAAGUGGUAUUUUAAAAAUUUAAUAGAGAAUAAGGACAGGGAAAUUGCUGCAGAACAAAAGCAGUCAGCAAGUGGGAAAAAAGUCUUUUUAAAAAGGCUUUUGAACUAUUGUGAUUGAAAAAAAAUAUAUGUGAUUUGAAAAAACAUAUAUGUGAUUUGAAAAAAAAAUAUGAAGACGUUUUUACAGUAAUGAUACAAGUUUGAAGCAAUAAGUAGACAAUGCAAAAUUUUAGCUUAUGGUGCACUGUUUUUCUUCACGAGCUUGAUUUUUUAGCAUAGCUUAGAUUUACAGAAAAGUGUAAAUAUAGUCUACAAAGUUCCCCUAUACUCAGUACCCAGUUUUUGCCGUCAUUGGCACCUACAUUAGUACGUUACAUUUGUUACCAUUAAUAAUAGUAACACUAGAGUCCAUUCUCUAUUCAGAUUCCUUGGUUUUUACCUAACAUUCUUUUUCUGUUUCACGAGCCUGCCCAGAACACAACUUUGUAUUUCGUUAAUGAUUUAUAUACUCUAGGUGGCCCAGAAUCCAGUCCUGGCUUGUAGUGUGUCUAUGGGCGUAUCUGUGUUAAAAGUAGUUACUCUUUCUAAGAGUCUCUGUUGAUCAUUCCCAGUAAAGCAUGCAUCGCCUCAUACUGGGAGACUAAUGUUACCUCCAUCUCAGAGCUCAGCCACUUUAUCUGAGCAAAACCCAGGCAAAACCUUGCACAGAAAUUGAAAAAAAAUAGCCCAGAACAGUUGCAGUGAACAACAGAAUGCCAACCACAUUAUGCGCAUGGCUUCCAGCAUUACUUCUCUCAUUCAUACUUAUUUGUAUUGUACACACAUUUCUUCUUCUUCUUCUUCUUUUUUUUUUUUUUUUUUUUGCUUUCUUUAGGACCGCAUCUGUGGCACAGGGAGGUUCCCAGGCUAGGGGUCCAAUCGGAGCUACAACUGCCAGCCUACACCACAGCCGUAGCAACACAGAAUCUGAGCCGCGUCUGCGACCUACACCACAGCCCAAGGCAAGGCCGGAUCCUUAACCCACUGAGCGAGGCCAGGGAUCGAACCCACAUCCUCACGGACACUAGUCGGGUUCGUUUCCGCUGAACCACCACAGGAACUCCCUUUACACACAUUUCUAACCACCUUGGUACCAUGUAGAAUAUUUUGAGGGCUCAGCUUUCAGAAUGAAUCUCUCCCCAUAAAUAGCUGAGGGUUAUUUGAAAUUCUAGAGUAAAUCUCAAGUCUGACAACCCAGAAGAUAGUGUGAAUAAAAGUAUUCUUUUAAUUUUAGUAACUUUUGAAUUGAGAGUAAUGAUAAUAAAGAGGCCUAUGAUGAGGAUAAUAGCAGUGUACAUAUAUGCAAAGACAUAGCACAGCUCAGUGUCUAACUCUGGGUCAUGCUGAUCCUCAGGAACUUUUCUAGAACUUUUCUGUGGAAUGUGUGGAUGAACUGUAAGUCAUCUGUUUAAAGCUAAGCGUAAUCAAAUAACUCAAGAGCUGUGACUUACUCUUGCACCUGAGAGGCAAUCCUGCCUGGGAAGGAAAGCCACAGGCUGUGGAUUCUGGCAGGUGCUGGGUCAGGACUGUGGCCUGGGGCAGGACAGGUGGCCAUCCUCAGCUCAUCCAGCCUCUCAACCCAUACCCAUCUAAGUGCCAGCCAGCCCGUGUUGACACUAAGAGUACAAACUGAACAGAUGAGGUGGAGGCCCAUCUUGUGGAGCUUACAUUCUCUUCUCUCAGGUAUUGAAAAUCUUAUUUACAUUACAAAAAAGAUAACUCUGGGAGUUCCCGUCAUGGCACAGGAUCAAACCCGAAACCUCAUGGUUCCUAGUCAGAUUCAUUUCCUCUGCGCCACGAUAGGAACUCUAGCAUCUGUUUAAGUCUUUAUUUGGAAAAAAAACAGCUAAGUGGGUUAUAGUGAAUUUUCCUUACAAACAAACAUCCAUGCAUCACGUGCCUCCCAGAGUCUGUCUAAUGCAUGUAAAAAAUACUCAUUAUUUCCAGGCCCUCAUUGGGAAAAGGGGACAGCAUCCCCAUGAUGAAGAGACUGAAGAACGUAAUUCACAAGCCUCAAAAGUGAGGGCCCUGAAUUGUCUCUCUAGAACUGGCAGCAUAGCAGGCCUUCAGCCCAGCCCCUUCUGUGCCAGCCUCCUCUUCUUCGUGUGACUCCUAUUGCCAUGGGUUCUAGACAUGCAUCAGUCUCAUCCUGGCUGCAUGUUAGACUCUCUAGGGAGCUUCUCAGCAGUGACCUGGCUCAUGCCCAGAUGGACUGAUGUAAUUCAUCUGGGGUGGGCCCAGACAUCAGUGGUUUUCUAGAGUUAGGUUUAUCGAGAUGUAAUUUACUCGUUGUAGAGUUUACCCUUUCUUUGGGUACAGUUCUUUGAGUUUGAUACACACAUACAGUCAUGCAGCCAACACUACAAUCAAAACAGACUGUAUCACCCCCCAAAUUUCAGUAUGUCCUUUUCAGAAAGCCUUUACAAUGUUGUGUUAAUUUCUGUUGUACAGCAAAUCAUUCAGUCAUACAUAUAUAUACACACUCUUUUUAAAAAUAUUCUUUUCCAUUACAGUUUAUCAUAGGACAUUGAAUAUAGUUCUCUGUGUUAUACAGUAGGACCUUGUUUUUUAAAGGCAGAUGAUUCUAGUGUGCAGCCAGGGCUGAGAAUCAUGGGCAGCAGGGCUGCCUAGCAGCCUUUAAUAAAUCUCAGGUACACAGGAGAGGAAAUCUGAGCUGUUCUGUUAAUACAUUCAGGGAAUCCAUCAGUUUAUCUCAUACUUAUGCUUCCUUUAUUAGCUGAGAGAAGACCAGUCUAUUGCUUGCAGUUUGCUGUGGUUGGUUGUUUGUUGUAGUAGUGAUUUGAGGAGAGAAGGGCAUGCAGUGAUUGGGAGGCUCUGAGACAUUGCUUGGGGCAGGGCAGACCCCCUCUUGGUGGGCAGUGGGAGGUCACCACUUACAUACGCAGCCUUAUCUAGAUGUCUGCACUGUUCUUAGCAUCGUGGACACUAAUGGUGAGCUAAAGAUACAGUGCUCCUGCUCAAUUGGGGCUACUGCAAAUGUGUGUCGAAUUAGCAGGGAACAAAUAAUACCUGUACAAAGAAGAAAAUAUCCUGCAAUAGAAAAAUGUUAUGCACUGAGUCAGGGUGAUAUGGCAGAGCAGCAGAGGCUACUUUAGGUUGCGUGGCCCAGGAGGCCCUCUCUGAAGAGAUCACAUUUACGCUGAGACCUUUAUGUCUUGAGAAAAGUAGCCAAGUGGAAUUAAGGAAUAUUCCAUCCAAGUGCAAAGGCCUUUCGGUUGUAACUAAGGUUUGCCAGUGUUAAAAGAGAAGGAAGGCUUCUGCUUCUGGAGGGAUAGGGAAGCGGAGAGUGGGGGUGAUGAGGUGGGGGAGGAGGGCAGGGGUCAGAGCUCCUGGGACUUUGGAAAAUGACAUCUAGGUAGGUUUUGUUCCAAGUGUGAUAGGCAUGUGGUUUGAAGCAAGGAAAAACAGGUUCUGAUACUUUUUAAAGAAAAUUUUAUUAAGGUUGAUUUAUAAUGUUCUGUCAAUUUCUACCACACAGCAAAGUGACCCAUUUAUACAUAUAUAUGCGUUCUUUUUCUCAUGUUGUCUUCCAUCAUGUUCCAUCACGAGUGAUUGGAUAUAGUUCCCUGUGCUGUACAGCAGGAUCUCACUGCUUAUCCACUCCAAAUGCAAAACUGGGCAUUUCCUAACCCCAAACUCCCAGUCCAUCCCACUCCCUCUCCCUCCCCCUUGGCAACCGCAAGUCUAUUCUCCAAAUCCAUGAGUUUGUUUCUUUUCUGUAGAAAGAUUCAUUUAUGCCAUAUAUUAGAUUCCAGAUAUAAGUGAUAUCAUAUUGUAUUUGUCUUUCUCUUUCUGACUUAACUUCACUUAGUAUGAGAAUCUCUAGUUCCAUUCAUGAUGCUGCAAAUGGCAUUAUUUUGUUCUUUUCAUGGCUGAGUAAUAUUCCAUUGGGUGCUGUGUGGAGAAUGGGUUGUAGCAGGUAGAUGGAUGGAAUGAGGAAGACCAGCUAAGAGGCUGGUGAAAAGACAGUGGCUUCCUUACCCUGUGGGGAUGGAGAUCAGUGGACCCAUUCAGGUCAACUUUUAGAGGCUGGCUUUUGAGAGGGGCUCCUCUGGACUUUCAGUGCACUGGGUGUGGGAAAUGAGAGAAAGAGAAGAAGCAGGAAUGUCUCAAGUUUUGGAAGUGAACUUCUGAUGACUUGUGGUAUAUUUCGCCUUGUCUCUCUAUAUACAAUCUGCAUCUUUUUUGUACAUGUCACCAAUCACUACCUGUAAUUACAGCUUGCUGGGCCCAAAGAUGUUAAGCCAUAACCCCAAUAUCCACAACAUGGCAACUGAGCAGCUCUGCCUGGGCUGCAGAUUAACCCAAUGAAGGAAGAAAUCAGGCUGCGACUAAGAGAAAUCAGUGCUUAGUGGUGGGAAUAGGGUUAAUAUGGAAACUUGUGAUUAAUUACUAUAAUACUUACCCCCAAAAAGCUCAGUUUUACAAAAAAACCUGGCUCUGACUAUGCUUUAACAGUGGUAAAAUAAGAUAAAAUAGGAAACUACAAGUUUCAGCGAAUGUAUAACUCUCUUGAACAAAAAAGAAAUGUGGAGAAUACAUGAAAGCAGUUAUGUAUGUUGUGAAACAUAAAUCAUGAAUCUCUUUAUUUUGGAAAAUGUAAUUAGCUGCAGGUGUUUCAUCAGGAUAGAAAACCGAAUCAAGGACACCGAGGACCCCUUUGGGGUAACAGACUACAGUUCAGUUCAGGAUGUGUACCUGAGUAGGUGUCUGCUCUUACUAUUUCUGUGUUCUUGUGGCCAAGGUCACCACUGUACAUAGCUAAAUACUCAUUUUUACUCUCCUUUCCCUGGCCAGUAUUUCAGGUGUUGUGGCUUUGUUUUGUUAGCUGCAUUUAAAAAAAAAUUAUGUCAAAAACUUGGCCUUUUUGUCUCCUUAGCAGUGCUUUUCAAACAGUGCCUCCAUCCUACUUCCCACUCCUUUCCCCUGGCUGAUAAUUUCUGGGAGAAAUUGGACAGAGGAGAAAGUAUAUAAAUUUAUAUGCAUGCACACAAUCAAAUCUUAGAAACGCAUGCGUCCUCUCAAAGCAUGAAAUAAAAACCUUCUUCUACCACCCACCCGUCCCCCAGCCCCACCACUUCCCUUUGCCACACACAGACUUUUCCUGUUCUUGUGGUAACUCAGAAGCCCACUGUAGAUUAGAAAAGUGGGCAAAGACCUUCCUGAUUGAAAUAUAUCAGGUGUAUUUCGGGGGGGGGGGCAUGGCCUGUGGUCUGUCCAUGAUGAAUAAGGCUUCAUGUGUUCAAGCUUAUGGCUAGAAAAUGACAAAUGGCAACAUUAAUAUUCUCAUUGUUCCUUUCCUCUGAGGACGUUAUAGGGACAGCCAAGGUCGUGCAACCAUGUAACCUGAAUGUUGUUUCUCCUUAUUUCCUCUCCUAUGCAGACUGGUGACAUGACCUAUAAUAUAUGCUCCACUCUCCUCUGGUCUGCCAAACUCCCUAUCCCCAAAUAGCUUUUAGGCCUAUAUAGAAUCAUAAUGAUACAAGAAGAAUGGAGGAACAGCAUUUAUUUCUUAGACCCCUCGUUUCUGACUGAUGUUGUGGGCAAUAGAAUGUCCUACUCCUCCUUCUCUGGCAGAGAAAUACACCAAGUGGUGGCAACAUGGUGUGAGAAACAUACACCCCUUCAAGUCUGUGACUGGCUUUUUUUGUUCCAGGGCCCAUUAUCACUGGAGUCAUACCCUGGGGAGGAGGAGGGAUUGGCCAUUCCUAUCACUUCAGGCACAUACUAAUCACAGCCAGGUGCUCUGGUGUUUAUUUUGCUAUUUCUGUGUCAGUUACGUUUGUGUCAUAGUGACACUGAGUCCUUUCCAUGUAGAUUCCCUUCUGCUCUCCCCCAAUACGCACAGACACAAACACACAGACACACAGACACACACACACACGCUUCCAUGAUCACAGGAAGCUCUUCUGGACAGCACGAUAAUGUAACACCUUUCCAAAGUAAAAUGAAAAAAAUUGUCAUUGCAUUUUUUAAAUUAUUUUAGAUUGGAGCCUACAUUUUAUCUUAAAUCAGCAUUUGGUUGAUCAGAUAAAAAGAAGAGCUAAAUGCCAGUCAACAAAUAAUACAACCAAGAACUUCAUUUAUCCACGUAAAUCAUGUGGAUUGUAACUGUUGACUCUCGAGGGUCAGGGAGAAGAAUUAGGCACAGGUUUAAUUAGAACCAACUGGAAUCAAUCUAAAAAGGGGAACUUUUCUACAAGGAGAACACACAGUGAGCCCCAAAUCGUUUCUACCUUCCCAGUUCUGUGUUGAUGACAUUGCGUGAUCCUUUGUGCUCUGUACUGCUUACUUCUGAUGCAUCUUUAGCUUUGAAGGUCAACACUGCCCUUAAAGCAUUUCAGUUCCCCUCCUUUCUUGGUUUGGAUUAAGUAAAAGUGAUGCAUGAAGAAACCUUUCUCCAAUUUUAUCGGGAAAAGGGGCCAAGACACAGAUUUUUAAAUGCUCUGCCCUCCCACGUCAGCUGGACCCAGAGUGCAGUCUCAGUGCAGGGAGUCCCUGAGUGUAGACACAGUCCGUAUCUCUUCUCUUACCCACCCCGUAUGGACAGGGUGCUUAGGAGGCUUCUGGAAGGAUGGAGGGAAGGUGGCUCUUAUUAUUGAAAGAGCAUGAGCAUUUUGAAACAAAACAAGCUAUUUUACCUCAGACCAUGGCAGGUCAUAAAUCUGUCCAUCUUACCCCUUGGUAAGCAUGUGAAAUAAAGGGCCAUCCAUUGUGAGCCUGUGUAUGCCCAGGUGAGUGUCCUUGCAAACUAAGUCACAUUUGUUUACAGCAGCAGUGACUCGUGUCACUAAACAUCAGCCAGAGUUUUUCUAACCCUUUGAAGGAAAAAAAAAA
RNAcentral lists this long non-coding RNA (7391 nucleotides) under Sus scrofa (pig). Its description in RNAcentral is "lncRNA (ENSSSCG00025055979.1)". Lineage: Eukaryota; Metazoa; Chordata; Mammalia; Artiodactyla; Suidae. The record is from RNAcentral.